This 77-nucleotide small RNA is filed under the name Flaviramulus basaltis. RNAcentral describes it as "Flavo-1 RNA". It matches the Rfam family "Flavo-1 RNA". Lineage: Bacteria; Pseudomonadati; Bacteroidota; Flavobacteriia; Flavobacteriales; Flavobacteriaceae. The record is from Rfam by way of RNAcentral.
UUUUAUGCGUUAGCGAUUGCAGUGGCAUCCUUUUUUGAGGAACGAGAGAAAAGAUAUAACGGAAAGCGCGACCCUUU